Long non-coding RNA from Nematostella vectensis (starlet sea anemone), 1084 nucleotides. RefSeq lists it as uncharacterized. The transcript has 2 exons. The record is from RefSeq and is a predicted model, not a curated record. NCBI's taxonomy places the organism in Eukaryota, Metazoa, Cnidaria, Anthozoa, Actiniaria, Edwardsiidae.
CAUAGUUCUAGUUCUUCACGAGACAAGUGACAUUUUUUCCCUUUCUUUGAAGAACCCUCUGUCGAGACACUAGAGGAGAGCAUUGAGAACUUCGAUGAAUCGUCUAUAAUCUCAAUUGGACAGGAAAGCACUGAUGUCUUCGAAGGUAAGAAACAUUUUAUGUAAUUGUAAUGCUAUUCUUCCUUCUGAACAGACAGCAACAAAACCUCCUGUGACAACCAAGACAGCAUCAUUGUUGCUAAUGAUACCGUCAGCAGUACUCUAUCAAGCUUUAAUGGUGAGAUCUUUAACUAUACUCAACAAUGAAAAAAUAAUUGUUAAAAGAAAGCUUAAUUUUAAUUGACUGUGUCUAAUUGUAGAAAGUGGUUGUUAAGUGCACCAUUGAAAAGUUUUAACUUAACAGUUUUUGUUUUCUUUUUUAUUUGUAGAUGUAGUUUCAGAUGCUGAAGAGCAUGUUCUGCCUUUGGAUAAAAGUUUAUCUAAAGGUUACAAAACCCUAGUGAUUGAUGUAGUAUUUUUAAGUACAACAAAAUCGUAACCUAAAAGAAGGGCUUAUUGCUACUCUUUAUUGUGGACAUUUUUUUGUUUCUUCUGUUUGUUUGUUUUUACCAGGAUUGUAUGUGUUCAGUUUGGAGUUAUGCUAAUGCUUCCAUAUUUUGCAACAAGACAAUGAGCCAUCUUUUUUGCCUUAGUCUCAUGACCUAUAACUGUUCUGGACGGCGACGAAUUGUUAAGGGGCUGUAUAUUUUAAUUCCAAACGAAGAAAACGACAAACUCGUGACAGUUCGUGGCGGACAAAACCGAACUGUACAAAUUACAAAGCAACCAUAUCCCUAGUCCCGCGCAGUUCGGACACAGGGCUCCCGCGCUUACAUAAGGAAAAAUGCUAAAUCAACAUCAACAUAUGUAAUCGUUCAAAACAAUAACAGUACAAUGACUGCAUUUCCACUAUAAUUUGUUUGUGGUUUAUUAAGAUAUCCAUACAACUUGUACCCCUUGGGGGGGGGGGGGCACCAGAUGCUGGAACCAGGAGAAAAGGUUAGAAUAUUUUUUUUCUUUGCAUAUUGAUAAUUAUAUUGUACAC